Long non-coding RNA from Lycium ferocissimum, 1045 nucleotides. RefSeq lists it as uncharacterized. NCBI's taxonomy places the organism in Eukaryota, Viridiplantae, Streptophyta, Magnoliopsida, Solanales, Solanaceae. The record is from RefSeq and is a predicted model, not a curated record. The transcript is spliced from 4 exons.
UAUUGGACGUGACAGAUCCAAGAAGGUAGAUAAAUUCGCAGUCCUGCAAAUCAGUGUGAUUGGAUUCAACAAGUUAGAUUUUGGUCGAGACUUUGAGGUAAAACCCUGAGUGUUAUGGACGGGGGAUUUUGUUGCCGGAUGGGGAAGGUAGCUGCUCUACACUUCUUCUGGUGAUAACUGAAGAGCUUGGAAUAAGCAUUGGCAAUUUGGAUAUAUCAACCUUAAAAAAAAAAAAAAAAAAAAAAAAAAAAAAAAAAAGAAAAGAGAAAUAUUGACAAUGUGGAGCUAGACAUGUGGGAACAUGUAAAUAGGUGACUAUCUCCAAGGAUGACAUUGUCAUUCUUGAAUGCGCUGGUUGGAAGACGUAGAUGAAAGGUGGGAAUAGUUUGUUGAACUCUUUCAUAUAAACUAAUACCAACCUAAGCGACAAUAUUACUAUCUGAAAUGCGUGGCUGAACAUAUGUUGGUCCUCUGCAUAUUGACAUAAAAUUAGUACUAGCUAUGUCGAGAAAUCUGAUUAUGUCAAAGAAAAGUGUUAGGAAGGAUUAACUAUGUUUUUAGCAACUUUGAGUAUAUGUAAACAGAAUUUGCAACUUUUAGUUUGAGAUAUUUAUUUAAGGAGCUUUUUUAUCUUUACUCUUUAAGCUUCCUUUAUAAGUGACUUUUUCUAAUUUUUAUUUAUAUGCUUUUUGCAUUUCUAUUGCAUGCAACUUGCUUUUUCCAACAGAAAUUUACAUUUUUAUCAUUCAAGUGCUGAUUGACAUCUUGAAUGGUCAUAAGGUUCAGCUCAUUGUUUCAAGUUUCAAAUUCAACUUUCUCAUCUUGUGUUUAGCAUGUUAUUUUUCACUUUCUUUUUUUACUUCUAUCUUUGAUCCAGAUAUAUGUUGUGAAAGAUGGAAAAGGCAGAUGAAAGUUAUUUUGUAAGGAGUUGUAAUGCUAUAAGCUCAAGUAAUUAUGCUUCACUAUUCUGACUUGUCAAACUUACCAGAAGAUAUAGAGUUUCCUUUCUCGAAGAAGAUGUACUCAACGAAUCGUCGCUUUAUGC